AGGUCAAGCUACAAAGGGCGCAUGGUGAAUGCCUUGGCAUCAGGAGCCGAUGAAGGACGUGAUAAGCUGCGAUAAGCUUCGGGUAGGCGCACAUAGCCUGAGAUCCGAAGAUCUCCAAAUGAGGAAACUCACAUGGGAAACCCCAUGUAUCAUUAAGUGAAUACAUAGCUUAAUGAAGGUAACUCAGGGAACUGAAACAUCUAAGUACCUGGAGGAAGAGAAAGAAAAAUCGAUUUUCUUAGUAGCGGCGAGCGAAAGGGAAAGAGCCCAAACCGGAAACUUGUUUCCGGGGUUGUGGACAUAGCAUCAAAGUGGAGGCUAUUGUAACUGAAGAGAACUGGAAAGUUCCACCGUAGAAGGUAAUAGUCCUGUAAGUGAAACGAGAAGACCACGAGUUAUGAUCCAGAGUACCACGAGACACGUGAAACCUUGUGGGAAGCAGGGAGGACCACCUCCCAAGGCUAAAUACUACCUGAUGACCGAUAGUGAAGCAGUACCGUGAGGGAAAGGUGAAAAGAACCCCGGGAGGGGAGUGAAAUAGAACCUGAAACCGUGUGCCUACAACCGCUCAGAGCCCCUUAUGAG
This 585-nucleotide ribosomal RNA is filed under the name Clostridium perfringens. Its description in RNAcentral is "bacterial LSU rRNA". It matches the Rfam family "Bacterial large subunit ribosomal RNA", at positions 1 to 590 of the family's 2925-position model. Lineage: Bacteria; Bacillati; Bacillota; Clostridia; Eubacteriales; Clostridiaceae. The record is from RNAcentral.